This 84-nucleotide small nucleolar RNA is filed under the name Octodon degus (degu). Its description in RNAcentral is "Small nucleolar RNA SNORA63 (ENSODEG00000022653.1)". The record is from RNAcentral. Lineage: Eukaryota; Metazoa; Chordata; Mammalia; Rodentia; Octodontidae.
AUGCUCAAAAUAAAGUUGUUUCUAAACUAUAUUUGUCUGCUAUGCCUGUGUAGCAGCCAAGGAUGUAUGCUUGUUCUCAUAUAU